Molecule: RNA transcript, 3144 nt
Organism: Nothobranchius furzeri (turquoise killifish)
Lineage: Eukaryota; Metazoa; Chordata; Actinopteri; Cyprinodontiformes; Nothobranchiidae
Gene name: LIM and senescent cell antigen-like-containing domain protein 1
Source: RefSeq, a predicted model, not a curated record
GUUCUUGUACAUGCUGUACAUACAUACUUUGACCAUUUUCCCUACAAUGUGAGGACAUUUUUUUGGUCCUCACUUUUUUAGAAGCAUACCAGAAGCUUUCUAUACCAGUUAGAGGUACGGUGUGAAUUAAGUUUUAGUUAAGGUUAAGGUUAGGAAUAGAUCAGCGUUGGUUAUGGUUAGGGUUACGGUAUGGGUUAGGCAUGGUGGAAUCAGAAAAAUGAAUGGAGGUCAAUGGAGGGUCUAUGAUAGAAAGACAGGCAUGUGUGUGUGUGUGGGUGUGGGUGUGCGAGAGAGAGGAAAAGAGGGAGGGUCAGAACUCCGGGCACAGCCUGAUCAGUGUUUCAGUCUCCCUGGUUCUGCCUGCUCGCUGCCGUCUCCUUACAGAACUCUUAAGCCCAUCUCUUGUGUCGGUACUUCAGAAUCAGGUUUUAGAUAAACUUAGGGUUAGCACUGCCUGGUUAAGGCGAGCACGGAGAUGAAUGGUUGUACCAUACCUGCAUCAAUCCCUGAGGAUGGAGAAGCCCUGAACCACUUUCAUCACAGGGAGAUGAACGGCUACCAUCAGAGGGUCCAGGCUGGUGAUGGAGGAGAGGCUGAGGUCCCCGUGUCCAAGUCCCAGAGACGGAAGAGCGAUGUCAAAGUCUACAAAGAGUUUUGUGACUUUUAUGCUCGCUUCAACAUGGCCAAUGCUCUGGCCAAUGCCAUCUGUGAGCGCUGCAAGAGUGGCUUCGCCCCAGCAGAAAAGAUAGUGAACAGCAAUGGAGAGCUUUAUCAUGAGCAGUGCUUCGUCUGUGCUCAGUGCUUCCAGCAGUUCCCAGAGGGACUCUUUUACGAGUUUGAAGGCAGGAAGUACUGUGAACACGACUUCCAGAUGCUUUUCGCACCUUGCUGCCACCAGUGCGGUGAGUUCAUCAUUGGCCGUGUGAUCAAGGCAAUGAACAACAGUUGGCACCCAGACUGUUUCUGCUGUGAUCUGUGCCAGGCUGUGCUCGCAGAUGUUGGAUUUGUUAAAAACGCUGGACGGCACUUGUGUCGCCCUUGUCACAAUAGGGAGAAAGCUCGGGGGCUGGGGAAGUACAUCUGUCAGAAGUGUCACGCCAUCAUAGAGGAACGGCCUCUGCUGUUCAAGAACGAUCCCUAUCACCCUGACCACUUCAACUGCACCAACUGCGGAAAGGAGCUGACAGCUGAUGCCAGGGAGCUGAAGGGGGAGCUCUACUGUCUGCCCUGCCACGACAAGAUGGGCGUCCCUAUCUGCGGGGCCUGCAGGAGACCGAUUGAGGGCCGUGUGGUCAAUGCCAUGGGCAAGCAGUGGCACGUUGAGCAUUUUGUGUGUGCUAAAUGUGAGAAACCCUUCUUGGGACACCGUCACUACGAGCGAAAGGGCCUGGCCUACUGCGAAACACAUUACAACCAGCUGUUCGGAGAUGUUUGCUACCACUGCAAUCGUGUCAUCGAAGGAGACGUGGUGUCUGCCCUGAACAAGGCUUGGUGUGUUAACUGUUUUGCCUGCUCCACCUGUAACACCAAGCUCACCCUGAAGGAAAAGUUUGUGGAGGUGGACCUGAAGCCAGUGUGUAAACACUGCUAUGAGCGCCUCCCAGAAGACAUGAAGCGCCGGCUGGUUAAGCGUGAACGUGAUUCAAGAGAGAAGAAGAAGAAACCACUGAUCCCCAUGUGUCUGUGACCUUCUGUUUUCCCUUCUGUCCUCGCUUCAACUGUCCUUCCUUUGGUCAGUUGCAACUCUUUUCUCUGCCUUUUUGUGCGUUUGUUCAACAUUUUAUCCUGCUGCAACCCUACUGGAACACAUCCGUCCCUCAGAUUCAGCAGGAACAAGUUUGUGGAGUUUGACAUGAAGCCGGUGUGUAAGAAAUGCUACGAGAAGUUCCCCUUGGAGCUGAAGAAGAGGCUGAAGAAGCUCUCUGAAGCUGCUGCUCGGAAGUGAGCGUGCAGCUGAAGGAGAUGAAACCGGGAGCCCUGUGCUCUUGUCCACCAUCGAGUAUUUUUUAAAAUAAUUUGCAUUUAAAUUGGUUAUUUAGGUGGAACGCCUCACCUGUUUCUCUUGCUGAAGAGCUCCUGAGGCUGACAGGUGGCUCCACAGUCAGACUUGGUUGGUCAAGUAGCUGCACUAAAUGCGUAAAUGCUGUGCUGUUUAUUUUAUGCUUAUUUCACAGCCUGGCUGACAGUGUUUCCAUCUUUAAAAACUAAAUAUCAGCUUUGGGUGACACGUUUUUGUUAUGAAUAAGAAUUUUCUCCUGCUUAACUCAUAAGAAAGGAGUAAAAUCAAGAAAAGCCAAAACCAUCUUGUAUAAUAAAUAGUAAAACUGGACUGAAUGUUUCCAGAUUUCUUCCUAUGUGUCUUUGUAUAAUUAAAGUGUGUUUCGUUAAAGCAGCAACAGCUAUCAUGCCAACUAUCACCAGCAGUAUCCUAAUGCUUUGUUAUAUUAUUUAUUUAGUUUGUAUCUUCGAAGAUUUGGUCAACAAAUUUUAGAUUUGCAUGUAAAAUGAAAAGAAAAUUCAAGUUCUGUUAAAGCAACAUCCCUGAAGAAAACAACUGUCACGGCAACUGUUACUUCGCUGUGUGUUACAACACGACCGCAUGUGCAGCGAACCGCAUGUGGGAGUAAUGUCAAGCAUCAGAGUGUUUGUAAUCCAAAGAAAGUGAUCCUCUUAGGAAGUGUACCAACUUCCUCGAGGCUCAGACUCACUUGAGGUCAGCUGUUCUUAUUCUCAAACCUGUUUAUUUAUUCUAUAUUUUAUCACUAGAAGCUUAUUUUUGCAUUAGAAUAUAACAAAAAAAGCACAUUCCACAGUUUUAUGAACACAAAGUGUAAGUUUAUGUUUCACAUUUCAGCACUGAAGCCACAUCAUUUCUCCUGCAGAAGCACUGAUCGUAUCUAGGCAGUAACUUUUGCAGCUCUACAGUUGGUUCAGGGCAUAGCUUCAUGUUUUUACUUGCUCAACAAUGUGUUGCACGGAAGGAUUCUCUUCUGAUGCUGUAUUUUGUCUGGCAGUAUUUUGGAAAACAUUUUCUUCAUAAAUCGCUAAAGUGCAUGGUUGAGACUUGAAUGAAAAAUGCAUUUUAAUGUACCAAGUGCUGUGCUGUCCUGUUCACUUAUCUGAAUAAAAAACUGUUCAAAGCUU